AAGUAAAAAAGUCAUUGAGAUGGUAUAAAAGAACAGUUCUGAAAUAGGAAACAUUAUUCAUUUAUUCCAAAAACUGAUAACUACUACAAAAUAAGGUAAGAUUUCUAAAGUGUAAGUGCUAAGAUAAUUAUCAUUUAUAAUUUGUUCACCUGUUUCUUUUCAAUUUAACAUUACUUUAAUUUCAAUAGACAACUUGCCUCUUCAUUAUUUUAAAAACUAAAUAGAAAUUGAGAAAAUCUAUUGAAAUCAAUUAAAUAUGCAAGGCUUAUAAAUAGGUACGUAGUAAUUGUUUGGUAACGUGAUGACAUUUAUAAUACACCAUAAAUAUAAACAUUUCAAAAGGAUACAAUUUUGAAAAUCAAAAAAAAUGAUGAAAUUAGCAAGAUCAUUGAAUUCUAGAAAAAAACACCUUUUCUUUAAUAUAUUUUGUGUUUAAAAAGAAAUAUCAUGAAAUAUCAUACAGAUCAGUUUAAAUUGUUUAUGAAAUUGAAUAAGACAUUACAUGUACGUAUUUUUGAAGUCAGUUUGUUUGAAUACCUAACUACGGCUGAACAUGUAUUAUGUUAAAAAAAAAGUGUUUUUUUAUUGAAUAUGUAUAUCCCUGAACUAAAUGUUGUACUUAAAAGUAUGAAGUUAAAGUUUUUUUCUUUUUAAAUGAAUUUUUGAGAAUACCGGAAAAUGAUUGUGAUAUUGAAGAAAAUUCAUAUCUAUCAGUACUAUGUCAGAUUUUAAACAGGUGAAUGCAAUGCAUUGCCAAUCUUUUUAGUUUAAGGGCAUACGAUACAGUUUUGAUCCUGUAUUUACAAGUUCAUGAAAAUUUGCAUAUAGGCUAUUUUUUACCUGAUUAAAUCAAUAUGUAAUAAAAAAUAUACCUUAAUGUGCUACUUUUUGAGUAAAAUGAGGUCGAAAUUUUGUAUAUUUGCUCAAAAUUCAGAUUUUUGGCCGUAAUUUCUUUUUCGAAAGAAAGACAUAACUUUUUUGUUAUAAAAGAUAAACACAAAUUGUUUUUUGUUAAACAAUCGUUAAUUUCUGUAUUUUAUAAGUAUCCUAAAAAAAUAUGCAUUUUUUAAUUCAGAAAUAACUCAUAUUUAUCAAAUGUUCAUGAAUUGAGGAAAAGACGUCAUAUUUUGCUGCAUGUUUAUCAAAAUUAAAAAAAAUCCUCUAUUUACAGUUUUAUAAAAUUUGGGUCACAUAAUCUCCCUGCAAAAUGAAACAAAUUGCCGUUUUGAAAAAUAGGGGUCCAUAAACUCGUUUUCAAAUUAAAUCAGCUUGAAUGAUAAAAAUCAGUCGAAAAAUGCAUCUUUUCCCGAUAUGUCACAGUUUGACGUCGCGAAAAUAACAUUUUACGUUAGCACGUCAUUACCUCCCCUGUAACUGUAUCGUAUGCCCUUAAACUUGUAUUUGCAUUUGUUAUUGAAUGGAUCACUUUCUAUUAUUUGAGUUUGAAAAAUAAUUCCAUUACAUAUAUUUUACAAAUUUAAACUUCAUAUUUUACUACAUAAAUGAGAAUUGCUGUCUACAAUAAGUUUGGUCAAUCGGAUCUAUUAAUUUCUAAGUAAAAUUCUAAAACAUCUGAAGUAAAAUGCUUGCAGGUCUAAAUUAUAACCCGCAACUUUUUUUAUUACAUAAUUUCUACAUAUUUUUAUACAGAUGUUUAAAACAUGCUAUCUUCCUAUAUCUAUUAUGUUGUAUAUUUCAGACAAUUGAAAAUGAUGAGAUUUGAAACUAUGUCAUUGUCAAUGUUGUUGACUAUAAUGUCAGUAGCUGGUAAGCAUUUUGUUAUUUUCACCUUUUCUAUUAUUUUCUUUUAUUGUGCUUUCAAACAGUUUUGAUACCAGCAUUAUGGAUGCAUAUUAUGUAAACGACAUCUGGCGUACACAAUUAUCUUAAGUCUGGUACCUUUGAUGAGCUUUGUUUUUACACAAAUAUGUCUGACGCAGUUAAGAUACAAUUCCACAAAGAUACCACACUUUUAAUUCUGUAAACAAGACCCGCAUAUCGUCUAAAAAAGACCCAGCCGAAAAGCUCAAAUCUAAGUGCUAAAAUCAAGUUUGAAUUUGAGGUCAACAGAUGUUCGAAGUUUUUUAAUGUAAGUUUGGCAGUUAAUUUAUGAAUAUGACCAUAUCGAUGUCAACCUAACUUAUCAUUGAUAAACCUGUAUAUACAUUAUAAUGAAAAUAACACAGUAUCAAGAUGAUAGUUUUGCUAUAUUCGCAUUAAACAGGCACGCAUUAAAACGAUUUUAAAACAGCUAUUACUUCUGUCACAAAGCUCGUACAUUUUUUACAGCCUAUACACCUACAGAAAAGAAAUUAGGUCUACAUGGAGUAAACAAGGUAUUACAGCUUGAGAAUGGAGUUGGUAGAGACAUUGGAGGUCACCGAGGAGAGUCACUUACUGUGUUGGAUGUAAUUGAUGCAAACAGACGAGCAGGAUCUGACAGAAGAAGUUCAGCUGUCUCUGAAAUUAUAAGAAGCUCUUCAUUUCAGAAUUCUGCUGGUAUAGCAAGCAAUGAUGGUUUAAACAAAAACUGUCAUUACGAGUGUGGAGUAGAUAAAUUCUGUAACCUAGGACAGAAAUGUGUACGCGAUGGAUGUGACAGUUAUUGUGUCCAAGUUUCAUCUGGAAGUGUCAUUGGUGAAUCUGGAUUGUCGGGGUCUAUAAGAAGUGGAAAUGGAAAUACAGUUUCAGAAAUUAUUAGAGGUUCAUCAUCUGACAUUUCAAGACUGUCAAGCAUUGAUGGUUCAAAAUGCAGUUAUGGAUGUGGAGAAAAUAAACUAUGUGCAUCAGGACAUAAAUGUAUCCUCGAAGGAUGCAACAGCUAUUGCGUUCAAUUAUCAUCUAGUAGCCUAAUUGGUUCAGGUCAGUCUUUAACCGGACGUUUGGGUCUAUCUAACAAUGGUCAUUUGGAAACUAUUGGUAGCAGUGGUUCAAUGUCUGGUCACACAGGUUCUGAUAUUCUUGACGCUAUCUCAGCUAGACGAAGUGGCAUUAAUGCAUUGGACACAAUUACAUCUAGACGUAGUGGCACGGAUGCAUUGGACACAAUUUCUUCUAGACGAGUAGGAUCAGUUGGAUCAUCUGGUUCAAUUAUCGUUUCUCAGUCAGUAAAAGGAGGCCGCAGUGAAUGUAGUAAACUAUGUCAUACUGAUUCAGAUUGUGCACCAAGCAAAUACUGUACCACUGUUAAAUGCCACAGGCUUUGUAGAAGAAGGCCAUCUAAAGGUAAUUCAGGAUGAAUAUAAUAAGAACUUUGAAGAAAUCCACAAUUUUUUUACCCAAAUUGUUUUUUUUUUUUAUUAUGAAAUAAAUAAAAUGUUAAAUACAA
RNAcentral lists this long non-coding RNA (3328 nucleotides) under Mytilus galloprovincialis (Mediterranean mussel). Lineage: Eukaryota; Metazoa; Mollusca; Bivalvia; Mytilida; Mytilidae. The record is from RNAcentral.